UACGUAGGGUGCGAGCGUUGUCCGGACUUAUUGGGCGUAAAGAGCUCGUAGGCGGUGUGUCACGUCGAUCGUGAAAACUUGGGGCUUAACUCUGAGCUUGCGGUCGAUACGGGCAUCACUGGAGUUCGGCAGGGGAGACUGGAAUUCCUGGUGUAGCGGUGAAAUGCGCAGAUAUCAGGAGGAACACCGGUGGCGAAGGCGGGUCUCUGGGCCGAUACUGACGCUGAGGAGCGAAAGCGUGGGGAGCGAACAGG
This 254-nucleotide ribosomal RNA is filed under the name uncultured bacterium. RNAcentral describes it as "partial 16S ribosomal RNA". It matches the Rfam family "Bacterial small subunit ribosomal RNA", at positions 524 to 776 of the family's 1533-position model. The record is from RNAcentral.